UGCCAGCAGCCGCGGUAAUACGGAGGGGGCAAGCGUUGUUCGGAAUUAUUGGGCGUAAAGGGCGCGUAGGCGGCCAACUAAGUCAGGCGUGAAAUCCCGCGGCUCAACCGCGGAACUGCGCUUGAAACUAUUUGGCUUGAGUCCCGGAGAGGGUAGUGGAAUUCCUAGUGUAGCGGUGAAAUGCGUAGAUAUUAGGAGGAACACCAGUGGCGAAGGCGACUACCUGGACGGGUACUGACGCUGAGGCGCGAAAGUGUGGGUAGCAAACAGGAUUAGAUA
RNAcentral lists this ribosomal RNA (279 nucleotides) under uncultured bacterium. RNAcentral's name for it is "partial 16S ribosomal RNA". It matches the Rfam family "Bacterial small subunit ribosomal RNA", at positions 506 to 784 of the family's 1533-position model. The record is from RNAcentral.